AUUGAACGCUGGCGGAAUGCUUUACACAUGCAAGUCGAACGGCAGCACGGACUUCGGUCUGGUGGCGAGUGGCGAACGGGUGAGUAAUGUAUCGGAACGUGCCCAGUCGUGGGGGAUAACGUAGUGAAAAUUACGCUAAUACCGCAUACGAUCUAUGGAUGAAAGCGGGGGAUCGCAAGACCUCGCGCGAUUGGAGCGGCCGAUAUCAGAUUAGGUAGUUGGUGGGGUAAAGGCCCACCAAGCCAACGAUCUGUAGCUGGUCUGAGAGGACGACCAGCCACACUGGAACUGAAACACGGUCCAGACUCCUACGGGAGGCAGCAGUGGGGAAUUUUGGACAAUGGGCGAAAGCCUGAUCCAGCCAUUCCGCGUGCAGGAUGAAGGCCCUCGGGUUGUAAACUGCUUUUGUACAGAACGAAAAGGUUUCUACUAAUACUAGGAGCUCAUGACGGCACUGUAAGAAUAAGCACCGGCUAACUACGUGCCAGCCGCCGCAGUAA
RNAcentral lists this ribosomal RNA (500 nucleotides) under uncultured bacterium. RNAcentral describes it as "partial 16S ribosomal RNA". It matches the Rfam family "Bacterial small subunit ribosomal RNA", at positions 30 to 523 of the family's 1533-position model. The record is from RNAcentral.